This 361-nucleotide transfer-messenger RNA is filed under the name Thermoguttaceae. RNAcentral describes it as "JAAYCB01 sp012744395 Standard tmRNA". It matches the Rfam family "transfer-messenger RNA". From Rfam's summary of the family: Bacterial tmRNA, also known as 10Sa RNA or SsrA, is named for its dual tRNA and mRNA-like properties. Its role is to liberate the mRNA from a stalled ribosome. Lineage: Bacteria; Pseudomonadati; Planctomycetota; Planctomycetia; Pirellulales. The record is from RNAcentral. RNAcentral also lists the same sequence under 2 other names.
GGGGGCGAACUGGGUUCGACCGGGCAGUAAAACGGCAAGUGGCGUGUCGUGGUUGGUCAGCAGGCCACGUAAAAAGCCGACCACACAAUAACUGCCGAGGGUAACCUCGUCCUGGCUGCCUAGAGAUAGACAGCCCCGGCUGAGGGCUUUUGCCGAAGAGGCCCGACUGCUGGUCACCAAUUUCGGAUCGUUCCGGGUCAUCGCCGAGUACGCCCGGGACUAAACCCUGUUCUUGGCUAGCCUCGGAGGCAGCUCGUCGGAUGGCGGUCGCCGGGCGCGAAAUUCAAAGAUUCGACUACACACGUAGAAGCUUGCCCGGAUACGUCGCGGGACGCGGGUUCGAUUCCCGCCGCCUCCAUUU